CAAAAAAAAAGAUACGGAAAUACAGUAACGUUUCCGAUUUUGGUUCGUUGUUAGGGCUUUUAGUUGUGACGCUAUUUUUAAAGUGAUGACGUCAUAUUCAAAGUCAACGCCAUUCAUCAAGCCACCACUUAGAUUCAAUAGUCUUACAUGAAGAAUUGGUUGGGGAAACCCUAAAACAUGCACCCCAAACCAGGCGGAACACGCUAUAAGCAUGAUUAAGGAACCAAUUGCUAAGAGGGUAAUUCCAGCAGAUCCGGAAAUACCUCUACCAGGGACACAGGAGAACAUUUAAAAUAAACAAAGUUAACGAUAAUCAAAUCUUCACUUUUUGAUAUACAGGCAUUAUUUACUUUUCAUA
This is a long non-coding RNA of Mytilus trossulus (common blue mussel), 358 nucleotides long. RefSeq lists it as uncharacterized. The transcript is spliced from 3 exons. NCBI's taxonomy places the organism in Eukaryota, Metazoa, Mollusca, Bivalvia, Mytilida, Mytilidae. The record is from RefSeq and is a predicted model, not a curated record.